This is a non-coding RNA of Penaeus vannamei (Pacific white shrimp), 225 nucleotides long. The record is from RefSeq and is a predicted model, not a curated record. NCBI's taxonomy places the organism in Eukaryota, Metazoa, Arthropoda, Malacostraca, Decapoda, Penaeidae.
AGUCUCCUUCUGCUCACCUUCGCAAACAUGAUCAAAGCCUUGACCUUCUUGGCUGCAGUGGCCGCAGUUUCUGCCUCUCCUCAACAAUUUUUAAAAGAUGUAACAUGUGAGGGAGCUGAUAAUGUGACCUCGUGUGAGGCUGAUGUGAGUACUGUUUUAUUUUGUUUAAUUACCUCAGCCAAGGAGGUUAUGUCUUUGGUAGCAUUGAUUAGUUUGUUCGUUGGU